CCGCCACCCAGGCCCUUCACUCUUCUACUGAACCACUUUCUUCCAUGUGCACACGCUGAUUUCUCAACCUGGAAUCAUUUCCCUACACCUUUCCUCAAAGGACUGUUAAUGAGUUUUCAGAGCAGGUACUUCACUGAAAUGUAACUACCACAAUGCAUCCUUUCCAUGUGACUAACUUCGCUCAUGGACCAGAAUCACUGUGGCUCUGCCCUGGAGUGGUGCAAAGUGACCAUGGAAACCUAUUGAUAAGGCUCUGGGGUCAGAUUCAUCUCUGUUCAGACAACUCUAGCGGUGUGACUCUGAGCAAGUGUUUUUUAACCUAAGUUCCUGCUUCCUCAACUGCAAAUGUAGGAAUGGUAACAUCUUCCUCAAAGUUGUAUGCUGGGGAUAACACAUGAAGGAGAUGCCUGGGCCAUAUAAUUAUUUAAGAAAUGUUCAUUUCUUUCUUGAACUACCUUCUACCAACUAUUUGGUCUGAGUUUAUGAAACUGUAAAUUUUGUCUAACAUUUGCCUAACAAAGCAUUAUUACCUUGCUUAAAGAAACACACAAUACAUUCUAAACCAAAAAUAAUUUGAAUGUAAUCCAUUAUUUUGGAUUAAUCUAUAUCAUCACUCCCCUCCCUUAGAGAAGACAGGCCAAGAGUUGGUUGCAAUAAUUUUUGAAGUAAAUUGAAGACCUUAUAAUUAACACUUAAGUCGGAGAAGUUAUUAUAUUUUCCAGUGUUUCAGUAUUUACAGUCCAAAAUAGUGUUCAUCCUCAGAAUAUAAAGCCCUUUUACCUUUAAUGAUAUAUCAAAUGCAUUGGCAAAUACAGCUGUUGUUAGUAAAUUCCUAUUUAACAGAUGGGCAAGAUGAGGUAGUGAGAUUAAAUGACUAGCCCAUGGCUAAUAUGUGAUUAGAAAGACAAAUUUAAUCAUAGUUGC
Molecule: long non-coding RNA, 924 nt
Filed under: Homo sapiens (human)
Lineage: Eukaryota; Metazoa; Chordata; Mammalia; Primates; Hominidae
Description: non-protein coding LINC01364:2
Source: RNAcentral